UCGGGAAUUUUGGGCAAUGGGCGAAAGCCUGACCCAGCAACGCCGCGUGAGGGAUGAAGUAUUUCGGUAUGUAAACCUCGAAAGAAUGGGAAGAAUAAAUGACGGUACCAUUUAUAAGCUCCGGCUAACUACGUGCCAGCAGCCGCGGUAAUACGUAGGGAGCAAGCGUAGUUCGGAUUUACUGGGCGUAAAGGGCGCGUAGGCGGCGCGGUAAGUCACUUGUGAAAUCUCUGAGCUUAACUCAGAACGGCCAAGUGAUACUGCUGUGCUAGAGUGCGGAAGAGGCAACCGGAAUUCUUGGUGUAGCGGUGAAAUGCGUAGAUAUCAAGAGGAACACCUGAGGAGAAGGCGGGUUGCUGGGCCGACACUGACGCUGAUGCGCGAAAGCCAGGGGAGCAAACG
RNAcentral lists this ribosomal RNA (402 nucleotides) under uncultured bacterium. RNAcentral describes it as "bacterial SSU rRNA". It matches the Rfam family "Bacterial small subunit ribosomal RNA", at positions 355 to 774 of the family's 1533-position model. The record is from RNAcentral.